GUAGGGAAUAUUGGGCAAUGGAUGCAAGUCUGACCCAGCCAUGCCGCGUGGAGGAAGAAGGUCCUCUGGAUUGUAAACUCCUUUUUUGGGGGAAGAAUAGUUCUCUUGCGAGGGAAUGUGACGGUACCCUAAGAAUAAGCCACGGCUAACUACGUGCCAGCAGCCGCGGUAAUACGUAGGUGGCAAGCGUUGUCCGGAUUUAUUGGGUUUAAAGGGUGCGUAGGUGGUUUGAUAAGUCAGUGGUGAAAGCUGGUUGCUCAACAAUCAAGUUGCCAUUGAUACUGUCGGACUUGAGAGAAGUGGAGGUUCAUGGAAUGGAUGGUGUAGCGGUGAAAUGCAUAGAUAUCAUCCAGAACGUCGAUUGCGAAGGCAGUGGGCUGUACUUUAAUCGACGCUGAUGCACGAAAGCAUGGGGAGCAAACAGGAUUAGAAACCCGAGUAGUCC
Molecule: ribosomal RNA, 445 nt
Filed under: uncultured bacterium
Lineage: Bacteria
Description: partial 16S ribosomal RNA
Rfam family: Bacterial small subunit ribosomal RNA
Source: RNAcentral